Molecule: ribosomal RNA, 446 nt
Filed under: uncultured Streptococcus sp.
Lineage: Bacteria; Bacillati; Bacillota; Bacilli; Lactobacillales; Streptococcaceae
Description: bacterial SSU rRNA
Rfam family: Bacterial small subunit ribosomal RNA
Source: RNAcentral
GCAUGUUGGUUUAAUUCGAAGCAACGCGAAGAACCUUACCAGGUUCUUGACAUCCCGAUGCUUAUUUCUAGAGAUAGAAAGUUACUUCGGUACAUCGGUGACAGGUGGUGCAUGGUUGUCGUCAGCUCGUGUCGUGAGAUGUUGGGUUAAGUCCCGCAACGAGCGCAACCCCUAUUGUUAGUUGCCAUCAUUCAGUUGGGCACUCUAGCGAGACUGCCGGUAAUAACCGGAGGAAGUGGGGAUGACGUCAAAUCAUCAUGCCCCUUAUGACCUGGGCUACACACGUGCUACAAUGGUUGGUACAACGAGUUGCGAGUCGGUGACGGCGAGCUAAUCUCUUAAAGCCAAUCUCAGUUCGGAUUGUAGGCUGCAACUCGCCUACAUGAAGUCGGAAUCGCUAGUAAUCACGGAUCAGCACGCCCGCGGUCGAAUACGUUCCGGGCCUU